RNAcentral lists this ribosomal RNA (227 nucleotides) under uncultured bacterium. Its description in RNAcentral is "partial 16S ribosomal RNA". It matches the Rfam family "Bacterial small subunit ribosomal RNA", at positions 110 to 339 of the family's 1533-position model. The record is from RNAcentral.
GUAACGCGUAGGAAUCUACCAAAUAGCGGGGGAUAGCCCGGAGAAAUCCGGAUUAAUACCGUAUACCUCCUUCGGGAGAAAGAAGGCCUCUCUUUGAAGCUUUCGCUACUAGAUGAGCCUGCGUAAGAUUAGCUUGUUGGUGAGGUAAAAGCUCACCAAGGCGACGAUCUUUAGCUGGUCUGAGAGGAUGAUCAGCCACACUGGGACUGAGACACGGCCCAGACUCC